RNAcentral lists this ribosomal RNA (429 nucleotides) under Actinomycetes bacterium. Its description in RNAcentral is "Actinobacteria bacterium partial 16S ribosomal RNA". It matches the Rfam family "Bacterial small subunit ribosomal RNA", at positions 355 to 776 of the family's 1533-position model. Lineage: Bacteria; Bacillati; Actinomycetota; Actinomycetes. The record is from RNAcentral.
UAGGGAAUCUUCCGCAAUGGGCGAAAGCUUGACGGAGCAACGCCGCGUGAGUGAUGAAGGUCUUCGGAUCGUAAAACUCUGUUAUUAGGGAAGAACAAAUGUGUAAGUAACUAUGCACGUCUUGACGGUACCUAAUCAGAAAGCCACGGCUAACUACGUGCCAGCAGCCGCGGUAAUACGUAGGUGGCAAGCGUUAUCCGGAAUUAUUGGGCGUAAAGCGCGCGUAGGCGGUUUUUUAAGUCUGAUGUGAAAGCCCACGGCUCAACCGUGGAGGGUCAUUGGAAACUGGAAAACUUGAGUGCAGAAGAGGAAAUUGGAAUUCCAUGUGUAGCGGUGAAAUGCGCAGAGAUAUGGAGGAACACCAGUGGCGAAGGCGACUUUCUGGUCUGUAACUGACGCUGAUGUGCGAAAGCGUGGGGAUCAAACAGG